AUAAGAUCCGUAGUCGAAAGGGAAACAGCCCAGACCACCAGUUAAGGUCCCCAAAUAUAUGUUAAGUGGAAAAGGAUGUGGGGUUGCUUAGACAACCAGGAUGUUGGCUUAGAAGCAGCCACCAUUGAAAGAGUGCGUAAUAGCUCACUGGUCGAGUGACCCCGCGCCGAAAAUGUACCGGGGCUAAACAUAUUACCGAAACUGUGGAUGAACCUCUUUAGAGGUUCGUGGUAGGAGAGCGUUCUAAGGGCGGUGAAGUCAGACCGGAAGGACUGGUGGAGCGCUUAGAAGUGAGAAUGCCGGUAUGAGUAGCGAAAGAAGGGUGAGAAUCCCUUCCACCGAAUAUCUAAGGUUUCCUGAGGAAGGCUCGUCCGCUCAGGGUUAGUCGGGACCUAAGCCGAGGCCGAUAGGCGUAGGCGAUGGACAACAGGUAGAGAUUCCUGUACCAGUGCUAAUUGUUUAACCGAUGGGGUGACACAGAAGGAUAGGGAAUCGCACGAAUGGAAAUGUGCGUCCAAGCAGUGAGUGUGAGAAGUAGGCAAAUCCGCUUCUCGCGAAGCAUGAGCUGUGAUGGGGAAGGAAAUUAAGUACGGAAGUUCCUGAUUUCACGCUGUCAAGAAAAGCCUCUAGGAAGAGUAGUACUGCCCGUACCGCAAACCGACACAGGUAGAUGAGGAGAGAAUCCUAAGGUGAGCGAGAGAACUCUCGUUAAGGAACUCGGCAAAAUGACCCCGUAACUUCGGGAGAAGGGGUGCUCUAUUAGGGUGCAAGCCCGAGAGAGCCGCAGUGAAUAGGCCCAGGCGACUGUUUAGCAAAAACACAGGUCUCUGCAAAACCGUAAGGUGACGUAUAGGGGCUGACGCCUGCCCGGUGCUGGAAGGUUAAGAGGAGUGCUUAGCUUCGGCGAAGGUACGAAUUGAAGCCCCAGUAAACGGCGGCCGUAACUAUAACGGUCCUAAGGUAGCGAAAUUCCUUGUCGGGUAAGUUCCGACCCGCACGAAAGGCGCAACGAUCUGGGCACUGUCUCAACGAGAGACUCGGUGAAAUUAUAGUACCUGUGAAGAUGCAGGUUACCCGCGACAGGACGGAAAGACCCCGUGGAGCUUUACUGCAACCUGAUAUGGAAUGUUUGUACCGCUUGUACAGGAUAGGUAGGAGCCGAAGAGACGUGUGCGCUAGCAUACGAGGAGGCAAUGGUGGGAUACUACCCUGGCUGUAUGACCAUUCUAACCCGCCACGCUUAGCGCGUGGGGAGACAGUGUCAGGUGGGCAGUUUGACUGGGGCGGUCGCCUCCUAAAGAGUAACGGAGGCGCCCAAAGGUUCCCUCAGAAUGGAUGGAAAUCAUUCGCAGAGUGUAAAGGCACAAGGGAGCUUGACUGCGAGACUGACAAGUCGAGCAGGGACGAAAGUCGGGCUUAGUGAUCCGGUGGUUCCGCAUGGAAGGGCCAUCGCUCAACGGAUAAAAGCUACCCCGGGGAUAACAGGCUUAUCUCCCCCAAGAGUCCACAUCGACGGGGAGGUUUGGCACCUCGAUGUCGGCUCGUCGCAUCCUGGGGCUGUAGUCGGUCCCAAGGGUUGGGCUGUUCGCCCAUUAAAGCGGCACGCGAGCUGGGUUCAGAACGUCGUGAGACAGUUCGGUCCCUAUCCGUCGCGGGCGCAGGAAAUUUGAGAGGAGCUGUCCUUAGUACGAGAGGACCGGGAUGGACACACCGCUGGUGUACCAGUUGUUCCGCCAGGAGCAUCGCUGGGUAGCUAUGUGUGGCAGGGAUAAACGCUGAAAGCAUCUAAGCGUGAAGCCCCCCUCAAGAUGAGAUUUCCCAUUUCUUCGGAAAGUAAGAUCCCUGAAAGAUGAUCAGGUAGAUAGGUUUGGAGUGGAAGUGUAGCGAUACAUGGAGCGGACAAAUACUAAUCGAUCGAGGACUUAACCAAAA
Molecule: ribosomal RNA, 1932 nt
Filed under: Listeria monocytogenes
Lineage: Bacteria; Bacillati; Bacillota; Bacilli; Caryophanales; Listeriaceae
Description: bacterial LSU rRNA
Rfam family: Bacterial large subunit ribosomal RNA
Source: RNAcentral